Molecule: ribosomal RNA, 210 nt
Filed under: uncultured bacterium
Lineage: Bacteria
Description: partial 16S ribosomal RNA
Rfam family: Bacterial small subunit ribosomal RNA
Source: RNAcentral
CGUUCUCAGUUCGGAUCGGAGUCUGCAACCCGACUCCGUGAAGCUGGAUUCGCUAGUAAUCGCGCAUCGGCCAUGGCGCGGUGAAUACGUUCCCGGGCCUUGUACACACCGCCCGUCAAGCCAUGGGAGCCGGGGGUGCUUGAAGUGCGUCGCCGCAAGGCGCGCCCUAGAGCAAAACCGGUGACUGGGGCUAAGUCGUAACAAGGUACC